RNAcentral lists this ribosomal RNA (301 nucleotides) under uncultured bacterium. RNAcentral describes it as "partial 16S ribosomal RNA". It matches the Rfam family "Bacterial small subunit ribosomal RNA", at positions 509 to 807 of the family's 1533-position model. The record is from RNAcentral.
CAGUCGCCACGGUAAUACGAAGGGUGCAAGCGUUAAUCGGAAUUACUGGGCGUAAAGCGUGCGUAGGCGGUUUGUUAAGUCUGCUGUGAAAUCCCCGGGCUCAACCUGGGAAUGGCAGUGGGUACUGGCAAGCUAGAGUGUGUCAGAGGAUGGUGGAAUUCCCGGUGUAGCGGUGAAAUGCGUAGAGAUCGGGAGGAACAUCAGUGGCGAAGGCGGCCAUCUGGGACAACACUGACGCUGAGGCACGAAAGCGUGGGGAGCAAACAGGAUUAGAUACCCGCGUAGUCCAUGUCUCUUAUAC